GCUGUCACUUGAUGUCAUGGAAAAAGGCCUGGAUGUGGACUUUACAGACCCUGGUUGCCUCUCUAGCUCUGUGUGAGCCCAGCUUCCUCAGUACGACAGAGGUACAGCGAUUCCCCCAAGUGUGCUUCACGGGGUCUGGUGUUCCUGCACCGCCCCCAGACCUGGAGGGGCUGCGCUUGUUAUCAGCCUGAAGGUCCGGAGCUCUGGGGAAGGGCACGGAUGGACGAAAAGUGUUCCAACAGCCGUGUGAAGAGGCUCCUUCGUGAAGCGCAGUGAGGAGGCUGGGCUCCCAGCGGCCCAGCAGCUCCACUACCUUCUGCGUGUCACCAGCAGGCCUUGACACACUCACUUUGCAGAGAGCAGGACUGGCCUGCAGGGCUUGUGUGUGGGUUAAGCUAGGUGAACACGUCGAAUCCACUUUGCACAGUUCCAGCCUCAGGACAAUCCCCCCAGAAGCUACCUUGCUGUACCUAUUUAAUGGAUGAAGAAGCUGAGUCGAGGAAAGGGUUCCUAGAAGCCGGCGACGCUGCAACAAGUGGAACCUGCUGUUCGCGAGCCUUGGGCCUGCAGCCACGAGGGAAACCCGAGACAUAGGCAGAAAUGGAAGGCCGUGCACACUUCCGUCCAAGCGUUUGGGACUGUGUUGCUUGACUGUGUCAUUGCUCACAGUACACCUGUGAUUCAUUGAGUCUCAGAAUUUUAAAAAAAUUGUAUCAAAGUAAUAUGUGCACAGUUUUUAUAUUUUAAAUCAAUUUGUUUAAAAGAACGUUUAAAAACAGCAACAAAACUGAUUUCCUGCUGUCCUGCUCCCCAUCCAUCUUCCCAUCCUUGCCCCCUGCCUGCUUCUGCUCCCCAGAGGCGAUAACCACUGUCAGGUGCUAGUGCCCUCUCUUUCUGAAUAAUGUGCUUAUGCUGCUAUGUCUUUAUCCAUUUUAGACAUCUGAUGGCUUCUUCAUACGGCAAAUGAGAACUUAGCAACUUCGCACUGCUCCCCUUUUUACUUUUUUCCUCUCUCAUCCUUCCAAUAUAAUUAUAUUUGAGUAAAGCAAUAAUCAGGUAGUAUUCUGACAAUAAAAAUAUUGCUGUAACCUUGUCUCCUAGAUCCUGUGUCCUCUCUUUCUUGAUUUACCUCUUUGUCUUGCUGGAACACCUCCUUCAGUACCUUCCUGAGAAAGGGUACAUUUUGAAUUUGGUAAGGUAUUGAAUUCUAGGUUAAAAAUCAUUUUAAAAGGAUCGCUCCCUUGUCUUCUAAUUUGUGGAAGCUGUCAGACUUCUCAAGACACCAUUUCUAUUCCA
This 1296-nucleotide long non-coding RNA is filed under the name Equus caballus (horse). Its description in RNAcentral is "lncRNA (ENSECAG00000059510.1)". The record is from RNAcentral. Lineage: Eukaryota; Metazoa; Chordata; Mammalia; Perissodactyla; Equidae.